GCGUACCAAGCUUUUGCUUCCACUUACUCUUUCAUAACCCUGUCCAUUAUCCAAGAGUCCCAGGGGAAGUGUCAUUAACCAAAAAUACUAGCUCUGUCAUCCUAUGAGUGUUCUCCGCUCAGAAAUCCUCAAGGCUGGAGGUGCUGGACGUGACACCACUGAUCAUGACACACUUAUCCUGAAGCAAAAUGAUGCUGGGCUGGCUGCCUUAUGGGACUCUGGUAAGCAAAGUUCCCAGGAUCUGAGAGGCCAGGAAUGAUCUGAUUCCAUGGUUUAGCCACCCAGCUCCACCUUUGCCAGAGAGAAAGUUGACAUGGCUCUUGUUUUUUUCCAUAGAUCACAAAACCAAAACCAAACAAAACCAGUUGGUCUUUCUAUCUCGAUCCUUACCCUUUCGGCCAGUCUUGUACAGCGUGAGAGGAGACCGGAAGGAAACGUAGGCACUAGAAUAUCUUUUCUUACUCAGAGACCUUUCCUGAGCUCCCACACACACCCUACUGCAACACUGAGGAGGUGUCUGCAGAGGAGCAGAGGGCUGAAAGGAACCUGGGGUGCGUCUGCCUUGUUUUAAAGGCAGUCAUGUGGAAACCUAGAUUGCUGGAGGCGCCUGUCCUUAGGAGGCCGAACUUAGACAGAAGAUGUCUUGACACUCAAGGACUUUAUCCCAUUUUUCUGUCCAGUGUAAGACACGACAGCUUAGUAAGGGGCCUCGUUUUUUUCUCUCCUUUUCAUCCUUUUAUGGAAUCCAGGACUUUUUACCUCCCCCCCGCCCCCCCCACACACACACAUACCAUGAACACUCAGAGAGGCUGAAGCUUGUAUGCGUUCACUCGGAUCGUCAGGAGCAGAAUUGAGAUUUCAACCCAGAUUGACCUGAUUCUAAAGCCUGUGGUCUUUCAGCUGCACUCGUGGUCUCUAAGAGGAGUAGUUGUUCAGGUGACUUGCCUGCAGGAGCUUCUGGGGGCGGGUUGGCAGUAGAGUGACCCCACAGCGUGCACAGGCCUCGCCUUCCUUUCCAGACCCUGCUGGGGUGCCUCACUAUGGCAAGAAAUGCAGUUGACCCUUAAACAACAUGGGUCUGAACGGUGCAAGUCCACCGAGAUGAGGAUUUUUCCCACGGUGAAGGCUCCAGGAUUGCAGGAGUUGGAGCUCGUUGGUGACAGGGAUGUGGAAUUGUGGGUAGGAAGGAACUGUGACUACAAAAGGAUCCAGGAUACAGAGCAAGGGCAGAUUCAGAGGCCAACUCUGCCAACUCUGAGUUACACGCGGAUUUCUGACCAUGCAGAGGGUCAGCGUCCCGACCCCUGCGUUGUUCAGAGGUCAAUUGUAUACAUCUUCGAGUAGCCUGCACAAAAAUCUAAGGUGUGAAAUUCCAGCUCCAAUGGCUACAUCACAGCUUGGGAUGGGGACAAAUAUGUGGCAGGGGGGUAGCCCAAGAACACAGAUCUGUGUCUUAGCCCAGAUCCCCUGAGGGUUUUCUGUGCCUCGUGCCCUGAAAACUGGCUUUGACCACCACCCAGGUGAUUUUUCUCAUCAGGCUACUUUUACAGGCAUAAACCUCCAGCCCAAGCGAAGAAUUCAAGACAUAGGCAAAUAUAUUUGGCAAUAUAUGAAAUAUUUCUCAAAUAUAUGAAAAUCCUUUUGAUGAUCUUUUCACAAGUUUAUUUUUCUGAAAUUCUUCAGCAACAGAGAGGAAGAAAGUAUUGAUCAUUUAUCAGAAAAAAAUUAGUAAAAAGGCAAAUAAAAAGGUUUCGUGACCUCUAAGACACUGGCUGAGGUGGGGGCAGAAACCAAGCCCCUCCUCAGUUUUAUCCCGUGUUGCCACCAUUCACUGAUAAGUUUCCCUAAUGUAACAGUACAAGGAACCGGUUAUGUUAGUGUUAACUAAGCUCUGACCAAACUCAGGACUUCCAGCUUGGAAAGCAAGCAAGAGUUCCUAAGAAAGUCUGGAACUGAAGCAUACCUCUAGGCUUUCGGGAAGACCCUGAUGGAGGCAGCAGUACGAAGUCCUAGGUCAGUAACUGAGGAAUGCUUUCCAGGGCGGUGUGUGUGUGUAUACUGUGUGUGUAGCAUGUAUGUAUAUUGUAUGGGUGGUGUGAGUGUGUGUGUGUGGUGUGUGGCGUGGAUGGGUGUGUGAUGUGUGGGUGUGUGUGUGGUGUGGAGAAGAGGUGGAGGGAGAACAGUGCUGCAGUGGGGUUGGCAUGUCCCCAAGCCCUGCCUCUCGUCCCUCUGCUCUCUGCCCUCCUGCCAUGCCCUUUCUGUGCUGGCAGCCAGGAGCAGCUCGUGGCCUGGGGUCCAGCAAUCAAGACAGGAGAGAAUCAGAGCCCUGGACAUGGCUUGAGGAAAGAAGAUGGAUACAAAACACAAGGACAAAAUGUUUUCCUACAUUUGGAGAAACCGUGACUGCCCACUAAUAAAAAGUCCCCUGACAGCACACUUAGCAUAACAAAACACCAGUCACUGGCUCCAUUUUUCUCUCUUUCACCCUCUGUCAGCAAGACUGUUUGGGUUGAAAGCACGCCUGAGAAAUCCUUCAGCCAGUGGUUUGCCUGCCUGGAGCCCUCUCAGGACCCCGGCCGCCCGAUUGUGUUCCUCAUGUUCCUCAGGAGGCCAAUAAUCUGCACAGCACGUCCUUCCCCAGACCCCGACGCCAAGCGCCGACGCAGUUCAGCAGUCAUUUCACAUUGUCUUCAUCCAGGAAGCUUUCCUGUGCCCUGACCUCAAAGACUCUGUGGGAACACCCUCCGUGCACAUGGCUCUGGGUUUGAGAUGUGUGCUGUGGAACGGACGUGUUUUGUUGAUGCGUGGCACGACACAAAGCUCCUUCUGCAUUUUCCCGUCAUGCACGGCUCCUGCCUUGAGCUCAGCAUCUCUGUGCUGUGGGGAGAGGUGCCCCGCAAGCACAGAUGGAGUGGGGACUGAGGGAGAUUUCUCUGGGGCUGCAGGCUCAUUCUGCCAUAUGCUGUUCUCUCGCCUUCCGCAUUCUGUCAGGCACACUGGCCACUGGCUGGCAGAGAGGGACAAAGAUGGAGAGGCUUUCAUCAGUUGCAAGUCUUCAAUUUCUAGCCAUUUCAACAACUCCUUUACGUACAAAAGCAAAGUGUCAAUUUAUGCUAUUUAUUUGGGGAAAAAAGUUUCUCUCCACUAUAAGCUAAUUUUCCAGGAAUUCUGUAUGAUCCCAGAAAAGUAAGCACUUUAAAUGAGCCUGUUAUAUGUAAUAGAAAAAUGAUUUGAAAACUCCAAUGGAUUAAGAUACAGUUUUAUUACCUGUCAGUUUUCGUUUCCUUGAAUGUCUCAGUGAGCAUAACAUUCUUUAUGCAUCUUGGCACAACUUAAAUUACAGGCUCGCUUAUUUUUUAUUUUAAACAUAAAUAAAAUUUAUUAUCACCAGAGCAGGUGUGAGUCCCAGCUUUUUAUACUAUCAGACCUGCAGAGAGUGAAAGAAAUGUUGUCCUUAUGCUUUCUGGUAGCUUUUCAAAAAUCUUUAAUCCUAUCGUCGGUCUGUUGUUCCUUCUUUACUUCCUCCUAUGUAUUUGUUCCGUUUGUGUUAAUAUAUGUAAAAUGGCCAAAUUAUUUUAAUUCACUAUCCCUGUCUUUAGCACUUUCUUCCAGUUAAACUACAUUUUGAUGAAUUUUAAGGGGUUGACUUUUAAGUUUCAAAUGGCACCUUCUCUUGUCAAGUUAAUAUUCUUAAAAUGGUAAGAAACUUUCCCAGACAAGGGAGACAACUCAUCAAAGUAACCCUUACUGGACACAUGCCUUCAGCUUGGGGACCAUUAAGUGAGUUCACUCCUACAAUCACAGCUAUAAUCAUUUUGGGCAGGAGUAGUGACUGGUCCCAUUGAGUGACAGUGGCCCCAAGAGAAGUUUUGUGGGGAGAGGCAGUGGUUCUUCACAAUGUCUGCUUAGUGAGGCACCUGGGACAUCUUUACAGGGUCUAAGAAAAGUUCCCUGGAGUUCCCUGGUGGCUCAGCGGGUUAAGAGCCUGGCAUUGUCACUGCUGUGGCUCUGGUUACUUGUGCGGAAGGGUUCGGUCCCUGGCCUGGGAAUUUCUGCAUGCCACAGGUGCAGUCAAAAAAAUAAAAUAAGGGAGUUUUCAUUGUGGCUCGGCAGUAACGAGCCCGACUAGUGUCCAUGGGGACACAGAUUUGAUCCCUGGCCUCCCUCACUGGGUUAAAGAUCCAGCAUUGCCAUGAGCUGUGAUGUAGGUCACAGAUGUGGCUCAGAUCUGGCAUUGCUGUGGCUGUGGUGUAGGCCAGUGGCUACAGUGCCGACUCUCCCCCUAGCCUGGGAACUUCCACAUGCUGUGGGUGCAGCCCU
This 4320-nucleotide long non-coding RNA is filed under the name Sus scrofa (pig). RNAcentral's name for it is "lncRNA (ENSSSCG00000061572.1)". The stretch from base 3959 to 4049 matches the Rfam family "tRNA". The record is from RNAcentral. Lineage: Eukaryota; Metazoa; Chordata; Mammalia; Artiodactyla; Suidae.